UCCGCUAGUAGUGGCGAGCGAACGCGGAAGAGGCCAAACCGGAGGUAGCAAUAUUUCCGGGGUUAGGACUGCAAUAUGUAACUUUAAUCUUUAACUGAAUGCUUUGGGAAGAGCAGCGAUACAGGGUGAUAGCCCCGUAAGUGAAAAGGAUUGAGUGCUAGCAGUAUCCAGAGUACCAGCGGACACGUGAAACCCGCUGGGAAGAUGGGGGGACCAUCCUCCAAGCCUAAAUACUACUCAGUGACCGAUAGUGGAGCAGUACCGUGAGGGAAAGGUGAAAAGUACCCCGGGAGGGGAGUGAAAAAGAACCUGAAACCUUGUGCCUACAAGCACCGAGAGUCCGUUAAAGGAUGAUCGGGUACUUUUUGUAGAACGGUCCGGCGAGUUAAUAUUUGCAGCGAGGUUAAGGAACUGGAGUUCCGGAGCCGCAGCGAGAGCGAGUCUGAAAAGGGCGUAUGAAGUUGCAGGUAUUAGACCCGAAACCGGGUGACCUAUCCAUGAGCAGGCUGAAGCGGUGGUAAGACACCGUGGAGGGCCGCACCCACGUCUGUUGAAAAAGCCGGGGAUGACUUGUGGAUAGCGGAGAAAUUCCAAUCGAACUCGGAGAUAGCUGGUUCUCCCCGAAAUAGCUUUAGGGCUAGCGUUAUUUUAGAUUACCGGAGGUAAAGCACUGAAUGGUCUAGGGGCCGCGAGGUUACCAAAGCCUAUCAAACUCUGAAUGCCGGAUAAUUGAUGAAUAGCAGUCAGACUGUGUGAGAUAAGUCUCAUAGUCAAAAGGGAAACAGCCCAGAUCUACAGCUAAGGUCCCAAAUGAACACUAAGUGGAAAAUGAUGUGAAACUGCGAAGACAACCAGGAUGUUGGCUUAGAAGCAGCCACUCAUUCAAAGAGUGCGUAAUAGCUCACUGGUCGAGUGGUUUUGCGCAGAAAAUGUAACGGGGCUAAGUGUUCAACCGAAGCUUAGGCAUUGCAGUAAUGCAUUGGGUAGGGGAGCGUCGUAUGCGGGGCGAAGUCAGAGCGGAAGCACUGGUGGACUGCAUACGAGUGAGAAUGCCGGAAUAAGUAGCGAGAAUUAUGUGAGAAUCAUAAUGGCCGAAAAUCUAAGGUUUCUUGGGGAAGGUUCGUCCGCCCAAGGUUAGUCGGGAGCUAAGCUCAGGCCGAAAGGCGUAGGCGAUGCACAUACGGUAGAAAUUCCGUAACCACCGAACAUUUAAGCUAGAGGGACGCUUUCUUUAAGGUUAUCCCGGGCGAUGGUUGCCCCGGGCGUAAGGGACCGAAAUAUAGUAGGGAAGUAACUGGCGAGAGAGACGAGAAAAGCUCUAGUGUAUACUAAGGUGCCCGUACCGCAAACCGACACAGGUAGAUGGGAUGAGUAUUCUAAGGCCAACGGGAGAAGGGUUGUUAAGGAACUCGGCAAAUUGGCCCCGUAACUUCGGGAUAAGGGGCGCCUGCGAGAGCAGGCCGCAGUGAAAAGGCCCAAGCGACUGUUUAGCAAAAACACAGCUCUCUGCUAAAUCGAAAGAUGACGUAUAGGGGGUGACGCCUGCCCGGUGCUGGAAGGUUAAGGGGAGUGCUUAGCGCAAGCGAAGGUGCGAACUUAAGCCCCAGUAAACGGCGGCCGUAACUAUAACGGUCCUAAGGUAGCGAAAUUCCUUGUCAGGUAAGUUCUGACCCGCACGAAUGGCGUAACGAUUUGGGCACUGUCUCAACAGCCCGCCCGGCGAAAUUGUAGUACCGGUGAAGAUGCCGGUUUCCCGCAACUAGACGGAAAGACCCCAUGGAGCUUCACUGUAGCUUGAUAUUGGAUCUCGGUAUUCCAUGUACAGGAUAGGUGGGAGGCUAGGAAGCGAGCGCGCCAGCGUUCGUGGAGCCAACCUUGGGAUACCACUCUUGGGAUAUUGGGAUUCUAACCUGCGACCAUGAAUCUGGUCGGGGGACACUGUCAGGUGGGCAGUUUGACUGGGGCGGUCGCCUCCAAAAGAGUAACGGAGGCGCUCAAAGGUUCGUUCAGCACGGAUGGAAAUCGUGCACUGAGUGUAAACGCAUAAACGAGCCUAACUGCGAGAAUGACGGUUCGAGCAGUAACGAAAGUUGGAGUUAGUGAUCCGGCGGUAUGUGAAUGGAAAUGC
Molecule: ribosomal RNA, 2128 nt
Filed under: metagenome
Description: bacterial LSU rRNA
Rfam family: Bacterial large subunit ribosomal RNA
Source: RNAcentral